RNAcentral lists this ribosomal RNA (486 nucleotides) under Triticum aestivum (bread wheat). Its description in RNAcentral is "partial small subunit ribosomal RNA". The record is from RNAcentral. Lineage: Eukaryota; Viridiplantae; Streptophyta; Magnoliopsida; Poales; Poaceae.
AUGGUUGGAGGAGCUAUGGUGAGCGCCUCGACGGGAGUUAUGAACUCCCUCAUGGUGAAGCUGGCUAACUUGAAGGAGGAGAAGAAGGUGCGGAAGGAAACCAACAGUCUCAAGGGCGAGCUGAGCACCAUGGAAGCUCUCCUGUUCAAGGUUGCCACGCGGGAUGAUCCAGAUGUGCAAGCCAAGGAGUGGACAAGGCAGGUCCGCGAGGUGGGCUACGACACAGAAGACUGCAUCGACAUCUACGUGCAGCAGCGUUCGGCGCCAGCACCAGAUAGCAAGCCCCCCAAGCUGUUCCGGAGGUUGCUGGACAGGAGAUCGUCCGCAAAGACGCCAGAGUUCGCGGAGGAAAUCACAGAGCUCACGACCGUUUCAAAGACGCCAACGAGAGGCACAAGAGGUACAAGCUGGAGAAUCUGGGGACCAACGACACCCUUGAAGCCGAUGAACAUGGACCCAACAGCGCCAUCAUCCCUACCCAGCUGA